Molecule: RNA transcript, 1714 nt
Organism: Chenopodium quinoa (quinoa)
Lineage: Eukaryota; Viridiplantae; Streptophyta; Magnoliopsida; Caryophyllales; Amaranthaceae
Gene name: WAT1-related protein At3g28050-like
Exons: 9
Source: RefSeq, a predicted model, not a curated record
UCCAAGUCGUCCAUACUUGAUCUAGUGUACUAAUUUUAUACGAAGUACAUCUUCCUCAGAAUUCAGAAGUGCUAUACAGAUAGAUAAAGAACGAAUAAGAGAUGGAGAGUGAAGCAGCUCCUUACAUAGGAAUGUUAAUGGCGGAAUUUUGCCAAGUUGGACUCAUGAUUAUCAGCAAACAAGCUAUGAAUACUGGUAUGACUACUUUCGUCUUCGUCUCCUACUCCAAUGCUCUUGCGUCCCUCAUCCUCCUUCCUUUCUCUCUCUUCCUUCACAGAUCAAAUCUCCCCCCGCUCAGUUUCUCCCUCCUCGGAUGGUUUUUUCUGCUUGCUCUUUCUGGGUGUUUGGCUCAGUUAUUUGGGUAUAUAGGCAUCAAUUAUAGCUCUCCUACUCUUGGGGCGGCUAUGCUGAACCUUGUUCCCGGGCUAACAUUUUUGCUCGCAAUCAUCUUUAGGAUGGAAAUGCUAAACACAAGAAAUAUAACUUGUCUAGCAAAAUUGGUAGGAACCAUAGUCUCGAUUGCUGGAGCAUUUGUUGUGACUCUUUAUGAAGGUCCACCACUGCUGAAAAGGCUCGCAACUUUGCACACUCAUCAACUUAGUCUUCGUGGAGAUCAAAUGAACUGGAUUCUUGGUGGUUUCUUUCUUGCCAUUGAUUGUGUCAUGGCGUCAAGCUGGGUCAUCAUACAAGCAAUAAUUCUCAAAAAGUAUCCAGCAGAACUCAUUGUUGUGUUCUUUUAUUGCUUCUUUGUUGCUAUCCAAUCUGGAAUCGUGACACUUAUUGUGGAAAGGGACCUAAGUGCUUGGAGUCUGAAGCCUACAUUGAGGCUGCUUGCAAUUCUUUACUCGGCAAUAUUUGGUUCUGCCCUCCAAGUUGGCCUUUGCUCAUGGUGCCUGCGAAGGAAGGGGCCUGUUUUUGUUUGCAUGUUUAAGCCUCUGGGAAUUGCAAUAGCUGCAAUUGCAGGUGUUGUUUUCUUUGGGGAUACAUUAUUUCUUGGAAGUUUGCUUGGGGUGAUAAUAAUAGUUCUUGGCUUCUACUCUGUUAUGUGGGGAAAGGCUAAAGAAGAGAAGAAAAUUCAUGCUGGUCACUUCAGCAGCAUGGGAUCUCCCACCCAAACGAUGCCAUUGCUGGAAAAUUAUGCUGAUGAGAUGGUGAAUGCUGCUGCUUAAAGAAGAUGUCAACAUACAUCUUACGCAAAUAGCUACUGAAGCUUUCUCAGGAUAAAGAAAGAGAUGAUUAGAAAAGCAAAAAGUUUCUAUGAUCAGGUUGUCGAAAGCUGGAAGGAGUCCAAACUAGUAAAUGUGAUGGGCAUGAAGUGUUCAUUUGCUGGUGCUGUAUUCUAUUCCAUGGUAGGCACGAUAGUUCUCUAUGCACCUGGCUUUAAAAAAUCCCGUCAACAGGAAAAACGGCGAUCUUCUGUCUGCCCACAGACUGAGGAAUCACUGCAUCUAUCUUUCUAUGAUCAAUGCCCAUAAUUUGACCUAUUGUAUAUGGAUUAGUUGUCAACCUUUUUAAUGAUGUAAGAUCAUUUGUAAAUAUAUCUUUAAAUGCUGUUAUUGGCCAUAAGAUUGAGUCUUGUAUAAACAUUAUUUAUUCUUAUAUGAUGUAAGAUAAUUUGUAAAUAUAUCAUUAAAUACUGUUAUUGGCCAUAAGAUUAAGUCUUGUAUAAACAUUAUUUAUUCUUCUAUUUGUUGAAUACAUGGAAUCAGUAUUU